RNAcentral lists this ribosomal RNA (497 nucleotides) under uncultured bacterium. Its description in RNAcentral is "partial 16S ribosomal RNA". It matches the Rfam family "Bacterial small subunit ribosomal RNA", at positions 28 to 507 of the family's 1533-position model. The record is from RNAcentral.
GAUGAACGCUGGCGGCGUGCUUAAUACAUGCAAGUCGAGCGAACGGACGAGAAGCUUGUUUCUCUGAUGUUAGCGGCGGACGGGUGUGUCACAUGUGGAUAACCUACCUAUAAGACUGGGAUAACUUCGGGAAACCGUAGCUAAUCCCGGAUAAUAUUCUGAACCGCAGGGGUCAAAAGUGAAAGACGGUCUUGCUGUCACGUAUAGAUGCAUCUCGGCUGCAUUAGCUAGUUGGUCAGGUCACGGCUUAUCAAGGGAAGGAGUCAUAGCCGACGUGAGAGGGGGAUAGCCCACCCGGGAACUGAGCCACGGACCUGAGGACUACGGGAGGCAGCAGUAGGGAACCGUCCGCAGUAGGCGAAAGCCUUACGGAGCGGCGCCGCGUGAGUGAUGAAGGUCUUCGGAUCGUAAAACUCUGUUAUUAGUGGAGAACAGCUGUGUAAGUAACUGUACACAUCUUGACGGUACCUAGUCAGAAAGCCACGGCUAACUACGUG